RNAcentral lists this ribosomal RNA (492 nucleotides) under uncultured bacterium. Its description in RNAcentral is "partial 16S ribosomal RNA". It matches the Rfam family "Bacterial small subunit ribosomal RNA", at positions 29 to 507 of the family's 1533-position model. The record is from RNAcentral.
AGUGAACGCUGGCGGUAGGCCUAACACAUGCAAGUCGAACGGCAGCACAGUAAGAGCUUGCUCUUACGGGUGGCGAGUGGCGGACGGGUGAGGAAUACAUCGGAAUCUACUUUUUCGUGGGGGAUAACGUAGGGAAACUUACGCUAAUACCGCAUACGACCUACGGGUGAAAGCAGGGGAUCUUCGGACCUUGCGCGAUUGAAUGAGCCGAUGUCGGAUUAGCUAGUUGGCGGGGUAAAGGCCCACCAAGGCGACGAUCCGUAGCUGGUCUGAGAGGAUGAUCGGCCACACUGGAACUGAGACACGGUCCAGACUCCUACGGGAGGCAGCAGUGGGGAAUAUUGGACAAUGGGCGCAAGCCUGAUCCAGCCAUACCGCGUAGGUGAAGAAGGCCUUCGGGUUGUAAAGCCCUUUUGUUGGGAAAGAAAAGCAGCAGGUUAAUACCCCGCUGUUCUGACGGUACCCAAAGAAUAAGCACCGGCUAACUUCGUG